This is a non-coding RNA of Paramormyrops kingsleyae, 3346 nucleotides long. The record is from RefSeq and is a predicted model, not a curated record. Lineage: Eukaryota; Metazoa; Chordata; Actinopteri; Osteoglossiformes; Mormyridae.
AACCCCCUAACGGUAAAUUCGUUUUUCACACAGACCCCUAUCUAACUUCACUAAGCCCCUCUACUACAUGGCUUCUCAGGAUGGCAAUGGGUUUGUCAUAUUGAAACUCUUAGCUCCUCAUUCUAGCUGCAUAGAUUAUGCCUGACAAAGUUGGGUUUGAUUUACUCGCAUGCGGUGGGGGGCGGGGGGGGCUGAUUUGAAUUAAACGGAAAGAGGUCUUACGAGGCAAAGCAACCACUUCAUUUACUGGGCUGUGGGAUCAGGAGCUCAUCCCAAGCAGCCUGGGACAUAAAGCAGGGGAUCACGCUGGGCAAGAUGCCAGCAAGCAGAUGAAUUAAUUGCUCUGAUCUCUGGACACCCAAGAUGGCAGUCAACACUUUGAUAUAAACAUCUCCCCAUUGCCUACUGGGAAAUGGGUACAGACUCCAUUAUAGUAAAAAGGCCAGCAUUUGAAUGCUUGCAUCCCCUGACAUGAUUAUUUCCUCUCUGUGUGAGACAGACACAUAAGACCUUGGGCAUCAUGUGAUCGGUUCUGACCUAACCCUAACCUAACCCUAACCCCACGAGAUCCAGCUCUUCAAGUCUGCUUAGCUUCAGAUAAACUGCAGGCAAAAAUGACCCUUGAUACUAAUUUCGUGCUCAAUAGACAGGAACUUCAGCACUUCCUGAAUCUUAUUUUUAAAUUAAUUCUAUAAUUCAAAAAUGCACAGGAAACAAGAUGUGGUCAGUCCAAAGGAAAGGAUGUCACAUGACGGGAAUGGUUUACAGGAACAAUUACAUUAUGAAACAGUUUAACACAAUUCAAAACCCUUUUUAGUUUCAGGAAGAUUUUUUUAAAUGUAUUUAGCUGCCAUUUCAUUAUACAAACUAAAAUAAUAAAUCCACUGGAAAUAAACUGGAUUUAUUUGCUGUGUCUUACAGAGCUGAAUGACUGGCGUGCAUGACCCUCAGUGCGCUGUUAGAUGAUGGCUCAAAACGGAUCAAACUGUAAUCCAGCACAACUUUUCCUGAGAUCCUUCUCUUCACUGCAGCCUCUGAGAAGAAAGACGGCAUUAAAAAAGAAGCAUGCCAGCCAUUUCUCUCCAAGUGGCACUUUCACUAAUUGCCCGGGGUCCCGGGCUAUAAAUUCAUCAAAGUCAAAUGCGGUGAAGGCAGAUCACGGCUUCAAAGCGGCAGAAGCCAGCAAAUCAUGUCAACACUGAGAUGUUUCAUUUCUAAUUAGAAACGCAUUGGGGACGACCACGGGACCAUUUAUGCAAUUUUGAUACAAAAAAAGGUGUCACAAUUAACGAAAAACUUCAAAAGCCUGUUACAUAAAGUUGCAUAUAAAUUUGUAUAACAGUUUACAUGUAUAAACUGUAUUACUGUAUAUAAUUUAGAUUUUCCCUGUAUGCUUUGUUCUUAUUACCUGGUUACUUCUAGGAAGAAUAUUGAACAUUGCAAAUACAAACAAUGGCCAACCUUACUUGUGAUAAGAGGUUUCAAAGUCUUCUGUCCCAUGUACUGAAAUUGGCUUAGUAAAAAUACUGCGUGAAACAGGCAGUAAAAUUUCAGACUGCGCCAUACAAACAUCUUACACAGCGAGUAAGAACUGAAUAAAAAAAACACGAUAUUUAGCAGGGAUGCAUGCAAAGCAACCUGACUGUGCCAAGCCUGUUUGUUCAUGACACCCCACUGAUUUACAAUUAGAGGAUAAAUUAAAAUGCAACAAUAGCACGUUCCCACCUGCUCUGUUUACUCCCACUGACAGCAGGAGAAUCUUUCAGUGCCUGCCUGCCUCUGGGAACAAUUCCCAAUCUUAUCAAGCUCAGAUGAUGGGGUUAGAUCGGAGACUGGAAACAUGUUAACAUGAGCAGUGUCAGUCAAUCUGGCAGACAUGAAAGUGGCUCAGCCUGGGAGUACGGCGGCUUCUCCGGAACAGCAUCUCUGUGAGCUCUGCCCGUGGGGAUGUGUGUCCUGUAAACUAAAUAACCCAUUUAAUGGCAGUCAGAGGCUCCUAAUACCGGAAGUCACAAAGAAGGUUUUAUCAACGUCUGCCAGAUUCGUGAGCUGCAGAGAUAUUUAUCGCGUAAAGCUGUUUUCGUCCUAUUGGAUAAUGAACACAAGAGGGCGCCCUACCUCCUCCUUUUCCCGGGAUAUUCUGAGCUGGAACUGAAAAAGGACAUUAACAAAGUGAAGUACAGUACAGUUUUUUGUCAUAACAUUUGGUUUCUGUUGCCUGGGAGACGUAUUUGUAAAUGUAAUCAUGUUGUUAAAAUGUAUGUACAUAUGCUUGUAUUUUAGGAAAAACCUAUUUCUGCUGUUAAUUCUUUUUAAAAAAAAAAAAAAUAUAUAUAUAUAUGUGACAUUUGAGUGCUAAUUCCAUAUAUAAAGACAGUUAAUAAACAUCUACAUAAAAAGUUAAAUAGAUUUAUUGUAUAGAAAUAGAAUUUGUGUGCAUAUAUAGUAUCAACCAUCAAUAUUCAUACAUAAAACAGUAAAAAGAUAAUACAAGACAGCCGUGUGAAAGCCGUUCGGUUUUCAUGUUCUAAAGUAAUUUGAAUAAGCCCCUUGGGUGCAUCUCAUUGAUGAAGACAUUCCUGUUAACACGGCAGAUUGCCCCCAAAUGAUCCAUUGAAAUCACAGCUUCUGUUGCAGUACAUUAAAGCACAUUACAGUAACAGUCCAAUUAGAGCAACAUGCUUAUGUGUGAUGUGUCUUCAUAGAUAUGAGAUCUUGGACAGAGUCACAUAUAAUGAUUUCCAAUACAUUAAAGCUGUAUUUGGCAUGUGUUUUAUGUCUGCUGCUUCUGAGAGGGUCAUCACACAACAUUUUUUUGCCUUCAACAAAUGCAUGUUCAUGCAAACUUGGUAACUUUCUGCGCUUACUGAACUUAAAUAUUGGAUUUUGCAUGACCAUUAUCACGUUAUGUGAGUUUAUCACAACCCUCCUACAUGGUAUAUUGUAAAAAGGGAAAGAUUAUGAAUGAUCUUCAUUGCAGUUCAUCAUUUCCAUGUAGCCAUAAUUAUUACAUCUUAAAAUUAAUGAUUAACACAUUUUUAUAAAAUGCGCUUAUUAAAUAUGUUUUGAAAAUAUGUAUUUUAAACUGUUAAACUUCCAACCACUUAUCCCGAGCCUGGUCACAUGGCAACGGGAAUACCAUAGCACACGUUUAUGGGCUGGUUUAUGGAGAUACCAAGAAAAGACUAAGUGUAAAUGAAGGCUGUGGCGUUGCAGUUUUGAUGAGGCAUAGGUAUGUGACUUUAUCUCAGUAGACUAAUUCCUGAAAAGGGUUAGAAGGUGACAUAGUGGUUAAGAUUGUGGAAUUCUGAUUGAAUUCUUAUGAGAAAGGCAUUUAACCUAUCAG